CUUGGAAUCUAAAGUUACUUCCUUAAGUCGGAGAGGUUGUACCUCUGCACCCUUUUCAAAUGUGCUCCCAGAGGUCUGCUCUGAAGGUCAGGGUCACGGAGUGUUCUAGAUUUUAAAGCAUGUUAGACACAGUUUUACUUUGAGGCAGAGUGACUUACAAGAGGGGUGCCUGCGAGAGAUUAAAAGAUUACACUUGUCCCCUGCUUUCGUGGGAAAAGUACCAAUUUCUCUUUUGGCCUGUAGACUCAGACAAAACCAGCGUGGUGGCCUUCAUGGGCUGUUGAGCAGAGGUGGAGGAGAGCAGCAGGGAAGAGAUAGGGCAUCCUGGACUCCCCUCACGAGUCACCGAGGGUAAUUUUCUCAGAAGUCUAGAUGGAUGCCAGUAAGCCCGCUGUCCAGACAGGGGAGGUGAUAGAGCUCGCUUUGUGUUUCCAGUUGAAAACAAAGGCUCGUUAGGAUUCGCGGCCGCCUGUGCUGCCCUGGGGCUCCAGGGACCAGCUGGCACCUGGACGGCGGCUGUGAAAAAACACUGGAGGCAGAACUCAGCUGAGCUGCAACCUCGUGAGCUCAAGUGGGGGUCACCCCUAGCUGAGGUUACCGCUGAGGGAAUGGGGUCACCCGCCCCGGGAGAACCUGAGCGGCUGCGCGGGGACGCGGACAAAAGCCGCUUUGUGGAGGCGGCGAGUCCUUCAACGGCGCCACCGUGUGGCAGCGCCGGGAAGCCGCGGCGGCGGCGGGCGCCGCGGAUCCUGAGGCCGUCUCUCGCAAGCCCUGACCUUCUCCCACCUUCUCUGACAGGACUCCAUGGUGACGGCCUGCCCCCUGAGGCUCUGCCCAGCUCUUAGAGGACACCACUCUCCAGGGGCUGCCCCAAACCUGGUGAUGCUCUUCAGGGCCUGGGGAGGAGGCUGAAGAGGCAGUUCUGGGCCGGAACUUCCCUGAUUCUCCCUGUCACAGCGGUUCUCAGCUCUCUCUCUCUGCCCCACCGCCAUCCCCAAACCAUCUGCAAGGUACCAACUCUUCCCCCAAUGACUCACAUCCCACCUCUGCCCCUGAGCAGCCCCCCACCCAACAUCCAGUCUUCUCAGGACUGCAACCUGCCUCCACAGUCAUCUCCCUGCUGCUGUCGUGUUUCCAGGGACAGACCAAUCAACAGUAACCAUCGUCUGCAAUCCCUUUCCCUUCCUCCUCACAUCCUGUCCCUGCCUAGAAGUGGGACAAUGUUGUGAGCCUCGUUUUACAGGUGACGGAGGCCCAUCAUGGUAGGCCAUGACGUGGGUACUGAGUAGCGGUGUCAGAACUAGAAGGGAUGUCUCUGGUAGAGACUCUUGGAGGAAGUGACCUUUGAGCUGAAACUUAAAGAAUGAAUCAGAGUUAGCCAGAUGAAGAGGAAGAUGGGAUUGGGAAGGCCAUUUCAGGGUGGAGUAUGCUUGCAGGCAAGGAACCAAGAAAGAUCAUGAGUGAUCACAUACUGUAAUUUCUUCACUAAGUCCUUUGAUGCCUCCUCGCUGGGUGUGGCAGAAAGGCUGAGUCUGUCUCUGUAGAAAGCCCUGUUCACUCUCCAGCCUUGGCUGCACCUCCAGCAGUCUCCCAGCACUCCGGGUGCCAGGUACUUCUCUCUGUGUACUUCUCAUGAUUUCACCCUUGGUGCCUUUGCACAAGCAUCUCCCCCUUGCUUCCUGGCAAGAUUCUGCUCAAACGUCAGCUGCUCUGUAAAGCUCUUUGACCUCCAUCGACACCGUUGUACUUGCUUCCCUCAGACCUACACACACGGCCCUCACGUGCGCAUUUGUAGAUUUGCCAUUGGCCCAGGGACUGUGCAAAAGGUCUUCACAGGUAAGGUCU
This 1845-nucleotide long non-coding RNA is filed under the name Felis catus (domestic cat). RNAcentral describes it as "lncRNA (ENSFCAG00000044624.2)". Lineage: Eukaryota; Metazoa; Chordata; Mammalia; Carnivora; Felidae. The record is from RNAcentral.